This 614-nucleotide small RNA is filed under the name Pongo abelii (Sumatran orangutan). RNAcentral describes it as "processed transcript". Lineage: Eukaryota; Metazoa; Chordata; Mammalia; Primates; Hominidae. The record is from RNAcentral.
AGUAGGGAAAUGCUUACAGCUGCCUCUAGAAGCAAGUCCGCUUGCUGCAUGGAGAGGGAAACAUGAGCAUGCAGCAGGACUAGCUGUCACCUCCCGCCCGCCUGCCCAGAGAGGGCCAGAGCGUCGGGGAGGCAAGAUGAUCCACCAACGGUGCCAUCCUGCACUUGGAUGCAGUAAGCUGUGAGGUCCGCAAUGUCAGACACUGGCAAACAUCACAUGUUCUUCAAGUAGAGUUAUGAAAACGGAGAAACCGGUCGGAAGAGUAAAACGCCGGAAUUGUCCUUUCCAAGAUCCAGAGCUGCAACAUUCCUUGGGGCAAAAUGUGGACAAGGUAGUAGAGUUGUCCUUGAGCCAGUAACCUGACCCUUUUGAAUCUCUGUUUCUGCGUUUAUAAAAUGGUGACAGGAAGAUUUUUCAGAGGAUGAAAUGAGAAAAUGCACAUAGAGUAACUCGUGCUCAAAAAGAGAAAAGGUAAAUUCUCUUAUCUAUUGAGAUCGAUCAACUGUUUUCUGUAUCUCAGAGAAUCAACCAUCAACUGCACACAAAUAAAAAAGCUCUGGGCGCUGUAUCAAGCCAAGAACAGCCCCAUCUCCUUUCUGGGGAAAGGUUCCAAG